GUCUCAUGUUCCAAUUUGGCAAAGUACUCAUUUAGAACAAUUGACCCAGGAGUUACAACUGUGCCUGAAGACCUUCAAUGAGACAAGGUUGCAUCUAUCUGCAAUUCUAAACAGCUAUUUAGGGUCUUGGAGAACUAAGAUUCUCUCAGUGUGGAAGAAAUGAGAUACAGAUGCAACAGAGAAGAGAUUAAGCAACAAAACCUUUAGACCUGAUUUGAAUGUAAAAUAUCAGUAUGAAUACCUGAAGUUUUUUGUCUUAAAAAAUUACAAAUGAAUAUUUUCUAUCUCUUUUGA
This is a long non-coding RNA of Cercocebus atys (sooty mangabey), 294 nucleotides long. RefSeq lists it as uncharacterized. The record is from RefSeq and is a predicted model, not a curated record. NCBI's taxonomy places the organism in Eukaryota, Metazoa, Chordata, Mammalia, Primates, Cercopithecidae. The transcript has 3 exons.